RNAcentral lists this ribosomal RNA (406 nucleotides) under uncultured bacterium. RNAcentral's name for it is "partial 16S ribosomal RNA". It matches the Rfam family "Bacterial small subunit ribosomal RNA", at positions 30 to 526 of the family's 1533-position model. The record is from RNAcentral.
AUUGAACGCUGGCGGCAGGCCUAACACAUGCAAGUCGAACGAGUGGCGGACGGGUGAGGAAUGUCUGGGAAACUGCCUGAUGGAGGGGGAUAACUACUGGAAACGGUAGCUAAUACCGCAUACCAUCCGAUGUGCCCAGAUGGGAUUAGCUAGUUUGUGGGGUAACGGCUCACCAAGGAGACGAUCCCUAGCUGGUCUGAGAGGAUGACCAGGGAAACGUGAACUGAGAAACGGUCAAGACGACUACGGGAGGCAGUCGUGCGGAAGAUGGCACAAUGGGCGCAAGUCUGAAGCAGCCAUGGCGCGUGUAUGAGCAAGGAAUUAGGGUUUCAAAGUACUUUCAGCGGGUAGGCGUAACCCGUAUAAGAAGCACCGGCUAACUCCGUGCUAGCAGCCGCGGUAAUAC